This 407-nucleotide ribosomal RNA is filed under the name uncultured eukaryote. Its description in RNAcentral is "bacterial LSU rRNA". It matches the Rfam family "Bacterial large subunit ribosomal RNA", at positions 2077 to 2483 of the family's 2925-position model. The record is from RNAcentral.
UGGACAGAAAGACCCUAUGAAGCUUUACUGUAACUUGAAAUUGGAAUCGGACUUUAUUUGCGCAGUAUAGGUGGGAGGCGUUGAGUUUAUUCUUGCGGGAAUUUAGGAGCCAUCAGUGAGAUACCACUCUGGUAAUGUUAGAUUUCUAACUUUCGAUCAUAAUCUGGUGAAAGAACAGUUUCAGGCGGGCAGUUUGACUGGGGCGGUCGCCUCCCAAAUGGUAACGGAGGCGUACAAAGGUUUCCUCUGAACGUGUAGAAAUCGUAUCUGGAGUAUAAAGGCAUAAGGAAGCUUGACUGUGAGACCUACAAGCCGAGCAGGGACGAAAGUCGGUCUUAGUGAUCUGACGGUACUGAGUGGAAAGGCCGUCACUCAACGGAUAAAAGUUACUCUAGGGAUAACAGGCU